RNAcentral lists this ribosomal RNA (266 nucleotides) under uncultured prokaryote. RNAcentral describes it as "partial 16S ribosomal RNA". It matches the Rfam family "Bacterial small subunit ribosomal RNA", at positions 524 to 788 of the family's 1533-position model. The record is from RNAcentral.
UACGGAGGAUCCGAGCGUUAUCCGGAUUUAUUGGGUUUAAAGGGUGCGCAGGCGGAAGGUUAAGUCGGUGGUGAAAUUUUGCAGCUCAACUGUAAAAGUGCCAUUGAUACUGGUUUUCUUGAGUGUGGAUGAGGUAGGCGGAAUUUGUGGUGUAGCGGUGAAAUGCAUAGAUAUCACGAGGAACUCCGAUUGCGCAGGCAGCUUACUAAACCAUAACUGACGCUCAGGCACGAAGGCGUGGGGAGUCAAACAGGAUUAGAUACCCU